GCUGGCGGCAUGCCUCAUACAUGCAAGUCGAACGAGGUCUUCGGACCUAGUGGCGCACGGGUGAGUAACAUGUGGGAAUCUACCUGAAGGUUCGGAAUAACUGCGGGAAACUGUAGCUAAUACCGGAUGUGUCUGCAAAGAGAAAGAUUUAUCGCCUUCAGAUGAGCCCGCACUAGAUUAGCUAGUUGGUGAGGUAACUGCUCCACCAAGGCUACGAUCUAUAGCUGAUUUGAGAGGAUGAUCAGCCACACUGGGACUGAGACACGGCCCAGACUCCUACGGGAGGCAGCAGUAGGGAAUAUUGGACAAUGGGGGAAACCCUGAUCCAGCAAUGCCGCGUGAGUGAAGAAGGCCUUCGGGUUGUAAAGCUCUUUCAUCAAUGAUGAUAAUGACAUUAGUUGAAGAAGAAGCCCCGGCUAACUUCGUGCCAGCAGCCGCGGUAAUACGAAGGGGGCUAGCGUUGUUCGGAAUCACUGGGCGUAAAGCGUAUGUAGGCGGAUCAAAAAGUUAGAUGUGAAAUCCCUGGGCUCAACCCAGGAACUGCAUUUAAAACUAGUGAUCUAGAAUUUGGUAGGGGUUAGUAGAAUUUCCAGUGUAGAGGUGAAAUUCGUAGAUAUUGGAAAGAAUACCAGUGGCGAAGGCGACUAACUGGGCCAUUUUUGACGCUGAGAUACGAAAGCGUGGGUAGCAAACAGGAUUAGAUACCCUGGUAGUCCACGCAGUAAACGAUGAGUGCUAGUCGCUGGGACAAUAGUUUCAGUGUCGAAGCUAACGCAUUAAGCACUCCGCCU
This 791-nucleotide ribosomal RNA is filed under the name uncultured Alphaproteobacteria bacterium. Its description in RNAcentral is "bacterial SSU rRNA". It matches the Rfam family "Bacterial small subunit ribosomal RNA", at positions 35 to 874 of the family's 1533-position model. Lineage: Bacteria; Pseudomonadati; Pseudomonadota; Alphaproteobacteria. The record is from RNAcentral.